Solanum lycopersicum (tomato) is the source of this 1163-nucleotide long non-coding RNA. RefSeq lists it as uncharacterized. The record is from RefSeq and is a predicted model, not a curated record. NCBI's taxonomy places the organism in Eukaryota, Viridiplantae, Streptophyta, Magnoliopsida, Solanales, Solanaceae.
GACUCCAAAAAUCAAAUAUGGUAAGAAAAUCAACCAAAACCUAGCAAAAUCCUGCUAAAGGAUUUGUUGAGAAAGUGAAUAUUUGUUUAAAAGAGAGGCUGGAAAUGCGGUUUUCAAGAAAACAAGAAUUGAUCCUUGUGUGAUGUUUCAAAGUAUUUCUCUUGUUUAACCUCUAUGAAUUAAGAAGAAUUAGCGGUUGAGUAAUUUUCAACUCUUAUUCUCAGAUCCUCAUUUUAUGACAUAAGCGGAUGAAAAGAUAUCCAAUUGGUGGUAAAGCUUUUUUCACUGCUCGCAAAACUAUUGAAUUAGUUAAACGAUCGAAAAAAGAUGAGGUCAAUUUUCUAUGAAUGAAAGAAGGACAAAAUGUUAAUGAAAACUCUCCAAGCUGUGCUUGCAAGAAACAGAGGAAAUAAACUGGAAGAGCUUAAGAUGUUGGAGAAUGUUCAUUCCAAAAAGCAACGGGCAGCAAUGGCUUGUCGACCUUUCCUCCUGUUAGUUUUCCUUUUCCUUCUAUGAUGUGAGCUCUUCAAGUGGACGAAAAGAUACAAGGUCUGCUUAUCAUUUUCCAAAUGGUGUUAACGCUUCUUUUUUACCAAUAUUAAAGAUGAAUAGUCUGUGAAACCAUCAACGAAAGAUGAUAUAGAUUUCUUGGAUAGCAUUGUACAGAUCAAAGAAGCAGAGACACGAAUGAUUCAGAGUCUUGCAAAUGAUGCACUAGGAGAGGUAGGGAGUUUGAAGCGCCUGGCUAGGCGGAAGAGAUAGACACUUGAGAAAAAGUAUUCUGAAUGACCCUCCAAACUGUGCUUACUAGAAACUGAGAAAAGGAGUUGAAAGAGCUCAAGAGGUUGGGGAAUAUAUAUUGCGAUUACAGCGAAUGAAAAUGCAAUUGCAUAGGGAAAUUUCAGGCUUGUUAAGUAGAAAGGAAGCAGCAAACAACUACUGUUCGGUACUUGCAUCGCAAUGGAAGAAUUCUCCAAGUUGUUGAAAAAAAACUCAGGGAUGAUUACAUCAAAGACGAAGAAAAGACAUUGUUGUUGCAGCCAUGCGCCAUUGUUAUGAAUGGCUUAAAACACAAACUAUAUCAAUGUCUCAGUUUCACCAUUUACAUCAAGCUUGUUUAGAGAUUAUUAUUUUUAUUUUAUUCAAGUAUUUUUUCAUAUUUA